RNAcentral lists this long non-coding RNA (353 nucleotides) under Carica papaya (papaya). RNAcentral describes it as "long non-coding RNA (CPAP_LNC011298)". The record is from RNAcentral. Lineage: Eukaryota; Viridiplantae; Streptophyta; Magnoliopsida; Brassicales; Caricaceae.
UUUACUUUAAUGUGUAUAUUAUGCAUGGGAUAGAGAGGCAUUUUCAGAAAAUAAGGGAAGAAAUUUUAGGAGGAAGAGAAGAUUUUCUUUUCUUCCACAAAACAAAAAGAAGAGAGAGGAAGUAGAGAGAAAGAGAAGGAUGGUGGAGAGAGAAAUUUUGCUGCAAAGAGGCCAAAAUCUGCUAAUCAAUGGACCGCAUACCGAGCACCGUAAAGUCACCAAUGACAACCUCCAACCAGUGAACUGCCAGAAACCCAUGACAGGAAAAGAGAAAGAGUGGCCAAAUCUUCCGAUCAGAUUCCAAUCUACUCCAGCCACAAAUCAGCGAGCCACCACCACUAACAAACUCCUCG